GUUCUUUAAAUGAGGACUCGUAUCAAUGGCACCACGAGGACUUUACUGUCUCCUUUUUCUAAUCAGUGAAACUAAUCUUCCCGUGAAGAAGCGGGAAUAAAUAGAUAAGACGAGAAGACCCCAUGGAGCUUUAAGCUUACUGCACCUCUAUUUUCUAUAACCUCUUAUUAAACGGAAUACUGCUUACUUAGCUUUAGGUUGGGGUGACCGCGGAGUAUAACAUAACCUCCAUGAUGAACAAAACUAUUUUCUUAUCUAAGAACAACAGUUCUAAGAAUUAGUAUUCUAACAUAAAAUGAUCCGAUAAUCGAUCAACGGACUAAGUUACCCUGGGGAUAACAGCGCAAUCCAUUUCAAGAGCCCCUAUCGACAAAUGGGUUUACGACCUCGAUGUUGGAUCAGGAUAUCCUAGUGGUGCAGCAGCUACUGAAGGUUCGUUUGUUCAACGAUUAAAAUCCU
RNAcentral lists this ribosomal RNA (459 nucleotides) under Gephyromantis enki. RNAcentral's name for it is "partial 16S ribosomal RNA". It matches the Rfam family "Bacterial large subunit ribosomal RNA", at positions 1971 to 2597 of the family's 2925-position model. Lineage: Eukaryota; Metazoa; Chordata; Amphibia; Anura; Mantellidae. The record is from RNAcentral.